Long non-coding RNA from Ictalurus furcatus (blue catfish), 1408 nucleotides. RefSeq lists it as uncharacterized. The transcript has 5 exons. NCBI's taxonomy places the organism in Eukaryota, Metazoa, Chordata, Actinopteri, Siluriformes, Ictaluridae. The record is from RefSeq and is a predicted model, not a curated record.
AUAGAAACGAUAUCGUAUUAGAACGAGCGCAUUAAUAUAAACCUGUGAUUUGGCUUGGAGCCGGAACUACUGUCCGAGCUGCUGUUUAUACACACCUCGGGAAUUCAGCAGCGUGGUGGUAUAAACGCAGAGAACAAGACUGUUAACUUAAUGGAUUUAUUAAAAAUAAAAAAAAAACAUCCACAGGCGGCUGCUGUCGGGGAGAACACACAGGUGUGAAACGACCAGAACCCAAUCUCCUAGACAGAUUGAAUUCGGGCAUGAAGAGCUCUUCUCUUCAGAUAGAGAUAUGUGUAAACACAUGCAGAAUUACAGCAGAUUUUCUGCGGAUUCGUUCCGAGACGCAUCACGUGACGUUAUCCCAACGCACAUUCAGCCAAAGUCCUGUUCGAACGAAAAGGAAGAUGAAUAGAUCGGGAUAAACUGCUGAUGUUUGUGGUCUCCUUACUAAAUGCCAGAGGAAGCCAACCCAUCAAACCCCCCCUCCCCCCGGCAGCUCUGGAGUAGAAGAAGGAGGAGGAGGAGAUGAUGGACUGUUUUAUUAAACAAUUGUAAAUAUGAAGAAUUAAAACUGCAGCUCAAGAGCACCUGAACAUCUCUCUAGUGGAAUAUUAAAGAGGAACACACUCUCUCUCUCUCUCUCUCUCACACACACACACACACACACUGAUUCCUGGUGAAUUAGGAAAAUGUAAGUCUUUUAUUUUUCUCCAGACGUCUGGAUUGUAAUUUAAGGAGAAGAUGGAGUUGAGCAGCGUUUGUGGAAAGCAGAUGCAUGGAAAUGAAUUCAAUUUUUGCUUUUGUUGCGAGUGUGAGAGUUUGUUAGUGUUUGUUAGAGUUGAUCAAAGUCUAUAAAGAGAAGCUUUUUAGGGUUUGGAAGUUUUUCAAAAAUCUGCUGGAAAUUAGGUUUCGCUAAAAGUCUGAGGAAGCGGUGUUUCUGCUUUAUUCUGAUAAACUACUGAAGACUGCGAGCGAUCCUCUAAACAAAUCAACUUUACAUUUUUAUUUAUUCAGCCUGCAGACGCUUUUAUCCAAAGUGACGGAUAAAUGAUGCCAAAAGCCAUCAAAGCACAGUUUGAGGACUCGAGUGCUCAGAUACAGUGCAGGUUGCUUCUAGUACGUAUUGUGUGUGUGUGUGUGUGUGUGUGUGUGUGUGUGUGUGUGUGUGUAUGGGGUAUAUAUGUAUGUGUGUGUGUGUGUGUGUGUGUGUGUGUGUGUGUGUGUGUAGUAUGUUCGUGUGUGUGUUUGUGUGUAUGGGGUAUAUAUGUAUGUGUGUGUGUGGUAUGUGUGUGUGUGUGUGUGUGUGUGUGUGUGUGUGUAUGUGUGUAUGGGGUAUAUAUGUAUGUGUGUGUCUGUGUGUGUGUGUGUGUGUGUGUGUGUGUGUGGUAUGUUUGUGUGUGUGUGUGUG